Molecule: ribosomal RNA, 465 nt
Filed under: Vreelandella stevensii
Lineage: Bacteria; Pseudomonadati; Pseudomonadota; Gammaproteobacteria; Oceanospirillales; Halomonadaceae
Description: partial 16S ribosomal RNA
Rfam family: Bacterial small subunit ribosomal RNA
Source: RNAcentral
CCUACGGGAGGCUGCAGUGGGGAAUAUUGGACAAUGGGGGGAACCCUGAUCCAGCCAUGCCGCGUGUGUGAAGAAGGCCCUCGGGUUGUAAAGCACUUUCAGUGAGGAAGAACGCCUGGUGGUUAAUACCCAUCAGGAAAGACAUCACUCACAGAAGAAGCACCGGCUAACUCCGUGCCAGCAGCCGCGGUAAUACGGAGGGUGCGAGCGUUAAUCGGAAUUACUGGGCGUAAAGCGCGCGUAGGUGGCUUGAUAAGCCGGUUGUGAAAGCCCCGGGCUCAACCUGGGAACGGCAUCCGGAACUGUCAAGCUAGAGUGCAGGAGAGGAAGGUAGAAUUCCCGGUGUAGCGGUGAAAUGCGUAGAGAUCGGGAGGAAUACCAGUGGCGAAGGCGGCCUUCUGGACUGACACUGACACUGAGGUGCGAAAGCGUGGAUAGCAAACAGGAUUAGAUACCCGUGUAGUC